Molecule: ribosomal RNA, 409 nt
Filed under: uncultured bacterium
Lineage: Bacteria
Description: bacterial SSU rRNA
Rfam family: Bacterial small subunit ribosomal RNA
Source: RNAcentral
UCGAGAAUCUUCCGCAAUGGGCGAAAGCCUGACGGAGCGACGCCGCGUGAGGGAUGAAGGUCUUCGGAUUGUAAACCUCUGUCACCCGGGACGAAGAAUGUGACGGUACCGGGAGAGGAAGCCACGGCUAACUACGUGCCAGCAGCCGCGGUAAUACGUAGGUGGCAAGCGUUAUUCGGAUUUACUGGGCGUAAAGGGUCCGCAGGGGGUUUGCCAAGUCUGAUGUGAAAUACUACGGCUCAACUGUGGAACUGCAUUGGAAACUGGCGGACUAUGAGUGCAUGAGGGGUGAGCAGAAUUCCUGGUGUAGCGGUGGAAUGCGUAGAUAUCAGGAGGAAUACCGAUGGCGAAGGCGGCUCACUGGCAUGCUACUGACCCUCAGUGGACGAAAGCGUGGGGAUCAAACAGG